Molecule: ribosomal RNA, 433 nt
Filed under: uncultured bacterium
Lineage: Bacteria
Description: partial 16S ribosomal RNA
Rfam family: Bacterial small subunit ribosomal RNA
Source: RNAcentral
AACGAACGCUGGCGGCAUGCCUAACACAUGCAAGUCGAACGAGACCUUCGGGUCUAGUGGCGCACGGGUGCGUAACGCGUGGGAAUCUGCCCUUGGGUUCGGGAUAACAGUUGGAAACGACUGCUAAUACCGGAUGAUGACUUCGGUCCAAAGAUUUAUCGCCCAGGGAUGAGCCCGCGUCGGAUUAGCUAGUUGGUGAGGUAAGAGCUCACCAAGGCGACGAUCCGUAGCUGGUCUGAGAGGAUGAUCAGCCACACUGGGACUGAGACACGGCCCAGACUCCUACGGGAGGCAGCAGUGGGGAAUAUUGGACAAUGGGCGAAAGCCUGAUCCAGCAAUGCCGCGUGAGCGAUGAAGGCCUUAGGGUUGUAAAGCUCUUUUACCCGGGAUGAUAAUGACAGUACCGGGAGAAUAAGCCCCGGCUAACUCCGUG